RNAcentral lists this ribosomal RNA (459 nucleotides) under uncultured bacterium. RNAcentral's name for it is "SSU rRNA". It matches the Rfam family "Bacterial small subunit ribosomal RNA", at positions 26 to 518 of the family's 1533-position model. The record is from RNAcentral.
AGAAUCAACGCUGGCGGCGUGCCUAACACAUGCAAGUCGCACGAGAAAGGGUAGCAAUACCUGAGUACAGUGGCGCACGGGUGAGUAACACGUGAAUAAUCUACCUCCGAGUGGGGAAUAACUGAGAGAAAUCUUAGCUAAUACCGCAUAAUACCCACGGGUCAAAGCAGCAAUGCGCUUGGAGAGGAGUUCGCGGCAGAUUAGUUAGUUGGCGGGGUAAUGGCCCACCAAGACGAUGAUCUGUAUCCGGCCUGAGAGGGCGCACGGACACACUGGAACUGAAACACGGUCCAGACUCCUACGGGAGGCAGCAGUGGGGAAUUUUGCGCAAUGGGGGAAACCCUGACGCAGCAACGCCGCGUGGAGGAUGAAGCCCCUUGGGGUGUAAACUCCUUUCGAUCGGGAAGAUAAUGACGGUACCGAUAUAAGAGCCCGGCUAACGUUCGCGCCAGCAGCCGC